This 1634-nucleotide long non-coding RNA is filed under the name Mytilus galloprovincialis (Mediterranean mussel). The record is from RNAcentral. Lineage: Eukaryota; Metazoa; Mollusca; Bivalvia; Mytilida; Mytilidae.
AGAAAAUUUAAAGUCAAUAAAAUAAAAUAAUUAAACUCUGCUUUAUUUGGAUUUAAAAUUGUUUUUUAGCCUUUAAUGACAACGUAUGGUAGUUGUAAAUCUCAAUAGUGACAGAAGUUUUGAAAUAAUCAGAGUGGUAAACUACUAACAAAAUUUCGUUUGUUCCCCUUUGACCGAGGUCGAAAGUCCAGGCGUAUACGUAUUAUAUGUGGAAAUCUCAAUAAUUCCCUCCGACCGGAUAAAGAAGUCCGGAAAUAUCCGGAGUGGUAUACAAGUAAUUUUGUAGGUUUUUAUUUGAUAAGAGAUAAAUGCCCAAACAUAUAGGAGUUAAAGAAGGAAAUCUCAAUACCUUUACUUAGACCGCCUAAAUAUCCUGUCCUGAAUAUCGGGAGUGAUAUGAUAAUCAUUUCGCUAGGUUCUCUUUGACUUCCGUUGAAUGUCCGGACAUAACCACAUUAUGGGAGGUAAUCUCAAGUUCCCUCAGACUGGUGAAAGAAGUCUGGAAUUAUACAGAGUGUUAUAAUAACAAUUGCGUUGGUUUACCUUUGACCGGGGUUGAAAGUCCGGAUAUUUCCGGAUUCUUGGUGAAAAUCUCAUUAAAUUCCCUCAGACCGGUGGUACAAGUCCGGAAAUAUCCGGACCGAUACAAUACGAAUUUCGUUAAUUUCCAUUUGACGGGAGAUAAAAGUCAGCACCAAUCCAGAUUAUGCUCUAUUGACACUAAGUUCUUUUGCAUGCAGUUGAUAAUUUUCAUAAGUCAAAAUUUUCAAUAAGGUUAUAAAAAAAAAAUGUGCAAAAAAAAAAAAAAAAAAAAAAUAGAACAAAUACACAGAAAACGAGGAGAAAAUGAAAAAAAAAGAAAUUAACUUGACGUCAUCAAUCGACACCAUUGACGUUACCUUAGAAAAUUUAUAUUCAGAUUCAUGGAUAGUCCAAGUCUUAUAUUGACCCUUCGUGAUAUUUGCCGCGAUGAAUAAAAUGUUUUAUCAAAAAUUAUUUCCUUUGUUUUUAGCAAAUGACAUGACGGAACAUUUAUAGUCGUAUAAUAAAAUAAUUAAACUCUGGUUUGAUUGGAUUUAAAUUUUGUGCCUUUAAUGACAACGUAUGGUAGUAGUAAAUCUCAAUAGAUCACGCCAUCCAGUGACAGAAGUUUUUGAAAUACCCUGAUGAAUUGAAUCAACAUUUCGCUAGGUUCCUGUGGGUGAAAGUCCGGACAUAUCCGGAUUAUGGAUUGAAAUCCCAAUAAUUUCAAUCAGACCGACGAAAGAAGUCCCGAAUUAUCCGGAGUGGUAUAAUAACAAUUUCGUCGUUCUCCCUUUGACCAGGAACGAAUGUCUGGACGUAUACGGAUUACCUGUGUAUAUCUCAAUAAGUUCCUUCAGACCAGCGAAAGUAGUCCGAAGUAGUACAAUAACAAUUUUGCUAGGUUUCCUUUGACUUUCAAUGAAUAUCCGGAUAUGACCGGAUCAUGGGUGGAAAUUUCAAUUGAUUUCUUCAGAUCGAUGAAAGAAGUCCGGAAAUAAUCAGAGUGGUAAACUACUAACCAAAUUUCGUUUGUUCCCCUUUGAUCGAGGACGAAAGUCCAGACGUAUACGUAUUAUAGGUGGAAAUCUCAAUAAUUCCCUCCGACCGGA